This 77-nucleotide transfer RNA is filed under the name Candidatus Roizmanbacteria bacterium CG2_30_33_16. RNAcentral's name for it is "tRNA-Pro". It matches the Rfam family "tRNA". From Rfam's summary of the family: Transfer RNA (tRNA) molecules are approximately 80 nucleotides in length. RNAcentral also lists the same sequence under 4 other names. The record is from RNAcentral. Lineage: Bacteria; Candidatus Roizmaniibacteriota.
CGGGGUGUAGCUCAGAUGGCUAGAGCGUCAGGCUGGGGGUCUGAAGGCCGCGGGUUCAAGUCCCACCACCCCGACCA